Molecule: ribosomal RNA, 253 nt
Filed under: uncultured bacterium
Lineage: Bacteria
Description: partial 16S ribosomal RNA
Rfam family: Bacterial small subunit ribosomal RNA
Source: RNAcentral
UACGUCGGGGGCAAGCGUUGUCCGGAUUUAUUGGGCGUAAAGAGCGUGUAGGCGGCUUUACAGGUCCGUUGUGAAAACUCGAGGCUCAACCUCGAGACGCCGGUGGAAACCGUAAAGCUAGAGUCCGGAAGAGGAGAGUGGAAUUCCUGGUGUAGCGGUGAAAUGCGCAGAUAUCAGGAAGAACACCCGUGGCGAAGGCGGCUCUCUGGGACGGUACUGACGCUGAGACGCGAAAGCGUGGGGAGCGAACAGG